AUAUCAAUAAGCGGAGGAAAAGAAACUAACAAGGAUUCCCCUAGUAACUGCGAGUGAAGCGGGAAAAAGCUCAAAUUUAAAAUCUGUCAGUCUUUGGCUGUCCGAGUUGUAAUCUAGAGAAGUGUUAUCCGCGCUGGACCGUGUACAAGUCUCCUGGAAUGGAGCGUCAUAGAGGGUGAGAAUCCCGUCUUUGACACGGACUGCCAGGGCUUUGUGAUGCGCUCUCAAAGAGUCGAGUUGUUUGGGAAUGCAGCUCAAAAUGGGUGGUAAAUUCCAUCUAAAGCUAAAUAUUGGCGAGAGACCGAUAGCGAACAAGUACCGUGAGGGAAAGAUGAAAAGAACUUUGGAAAGAGAGUUAAACAGUACGUGAAAUUGCUGAAAGGGAAACGCUUGAAGUCAGUCGCGUUGUUCAGGGAUCAACCUUGCUUUUGCUUGGUGUAUUCUCUGGUUGACGGGUCAGCAUCAAUUUUGACUAUUGGAAAAAGAUUAAGGGAAUGUGGCAUCCUCGGAUGUGUUAUAGCCCUUGGUUGCAUACAAUGGUUGGGAUUGAGGAACUCAGCACGCCGAAAGGCCGGGUUUUAACCACGUACGUGCUUAGGAUGCUGGCAUAAUGGCUUUAAUCGACCCGUCUUGAAACACGGACCAAGGAGUCUAACAUGCCUGCGAGUGUUUGGGUGGAAAACCCGAGCGCGUAAUGAAAGUGAAAGUUGAGAUCCUUGUCAUGGGGAGCAUCGACGCCCGGACCAGACCUUUUGUGACGGUUCCGCGGUAGAGCAUGUAUGUUGGGACCCGAAAGAUGGUGAACUAUGCCUGAAUAGGGUGAAGCCAGAGGAAACUCUGGUGGAGGCUCGUAGCGAUUCUGACGUGCAAAUCGAUCGUCAAAUUUGGGUAUAGGGGCGAAAGACUAAUCGAACCAUCUAGUAGCUGGU
This 929-nucleotide ribosomal RNA is filed under the name Cortinarius purpureocapitatus. RNAcentral's name for it is "partial large subunit ribosomal RNA". It matches the Rfam family "Eukaryotic large subunit ribosomal RNA", at positions 40 to 955 of the family's 3401-position model. The record is from RNAcentral. Lineage: Eukaryota; Fungi; Basidiomycota; Agaricomycetes; Agaricales; Cortinariaceae.